Molecule: non-coding RNA, 419 nt
Organism: Pelobates cultripes (western spadefoot toad)
Lineage: Eukaryota; Metazoa; Chordata; Amphibia; Anura; Pelobatidae
Source: the annotation of a GenBank genome assembly
UAUAUUUUAUUUGCAUGUUUCAUUCCUAAUAAUGGUGUGGGGCAGAGAGGAAAUGCUAGUGUGCAAUGCAAAUUACUGACCAAAGUACUGCUGCUUUUAUACCAUUAAAUUGCCGUAAAGUGCUUAAUUAUUCUAAAACGGUGAUGUACACAAAACUACUAACAACUUGACUGUCUAUGUUAUGUAUGUUGUUUAUAUUUAAUAUAUUGUGAUAAGGAAGAACAAGAUUAAAGUGACCAAAAAAGUCUUCCAGAAAUAUUGUCUGCGUGAUUUUAUUCUAGAUCAGUGACUACCAUUUCACUUUCAAAUGAAAAAUUAUUUUAAACAGAUUUUAAAAUCUACAAUUCAGCAAAGUAUUUUGCUUGGCAAUGUCACCGUAAGAGUAAGGAGCUUAACUGUAGGUAAUGGCAUGACACGAU